RNAcentral lists this long non-coding RNA (327 nucleotides) under Cicer arietinum (chickpea). Its description in RNAcentral is "long non-coding RNA (CARI_LNC001092)". The record is from RNAcentral. Lineage: Eukaryota; Viridiplantae; Streptophyta; Magnoliopsida; Fabales; Fabaceae.
UUUAGAAUAAAAGCUACAAAAUGUAACUAGAAGAAAAAUAAAGUACAACUCAUAUGCUGUCCCAAAUUUCCCUUUUUUCCCAGUUAACGUUAUCAAAGCUAUGAUAUAUAGCAUCGUAUCUCACUGACCAAAGAACAACAGUAGUGCUAAAUCCUCCGUACUUGUCAAAAUUAUAUAAGUUGAACGCUAUAUGUUUCCCAUCUUCUCGUGACCAUGUCAAUAAACAUGUUUUUAGUUGAUAGUUACUAAGAAACUUCUUACGAACUCCUGGUCUUAAUAUGUAUCCACCUUGAUAAAAGUUGCAUUCGAUGAUUAAAUUUUGUGAGC